This 205-nucleotide unclassified non-coding RNA is filed under the name Hevea brasiliensis (rubber tree). The record is from RNAcentral. Lineage: Eukaryota; Viridiplantae; Streptophyta; Magnoliopsida; Malpighiales; Euphorbiaceae.
AUCAGUUGUGGACUAAUCCCUUCCAUGGUAUAUUUAUAUUCAACAGAGAACUAAAAACACAAAAUUAAAUACAGCCAUCUAUAACCUACUUCCUACUGGGAUGAGUAUCUAUGGGCUCAGCACUAUUGGUAGCCUUAUUCCGGGCGCUUGCUUCUGGCGUUUUCUUGGCAUACAAGACCAUGUAUCCAAUGGCGGCUGUCAUAAG